GACAGAGGUGCCAAGCGUUAGGCGGAAUCACUGGGCUUAAAGCGUGUGUAGGCGGGUCGUUAAGUACCUUGUGAAAUCCCACGGCUCAACCGUGGAACUGCUCGGUAUACUGGCGAUCUUGGGCCACUUAGGGGCUAGCGGAACAAACGGUGGAGCGGUGAAAUGCGUAGAGAUCGGCAGGAACACCCAGGGGGAAACCAGUCGACUGGGCAGCACCUGACGCUGAGGUGCGAGAGCGUGGGGAGCGAACCGG
RNAcentral lists this ribosomal RNA (253 nucleotides) under uncultured bacterium. Its description in RNAcentral is "partial 16S ribosomal RNA". It matches the Rfam family "Bacterial small subunit ribosomal RNA", at positions 524 to 776 of the family's 1533-position model. The record is from RNAcentral.